GAAGUUAGAGGUUCGAAGGCGAUCAGAUACCGCCCUAGUUCUAACCAUAAACGAUGCCAGCUAGCGAUCCGGCUGUGUUCCUCAAAUGACACGCCGGGCAGCUUCCGGGAAACCAAAGCUUUUGGGUUCCGGGGGGAGUAUGGUUGCAAAGCUGAAACUUAAAGGAAUAGACGGAAGGGCACCACCAGGAAUGGAGCCUGCGGCUUAAUUUGACUCAACACGGGAAAACUUACCCGGCCCGGACACAGGAAGGAUUGACAGAUUAAGAGCUCUUUCUUGAUUCUGUGGGUGGUGGUGCAUGGCCGCUCUUAGUUCGUGGAGCGAUUUGUCUGGUUAAUUCCGAUAACGAACGAGACUCUAGCCUAUUAAAUAGACGCUUCGAUCAUCACUGUCGGGCGUUCUUCUUAGAGGGAUAAACGGCGUUUAGCCGCACGAGACAGAGCAAUAGCAGGUCUGUGAUGCCCUUAGAUGUCCGGGGCCGCACGCGCGCUACAUUGAAGGAAACAGCGUGUGCUUUCCCUCUCUGACAAGAGUGGGUAACCCGUUGAAACUCCUUCGUGCUGGGGAUAGAAGUUUGAAACUGUUCUUCUUGAACGAGGAAUUCCCAGUAAGCACGAGUCAUUAGCUCGUGUUGACUACGUCCCUGGCCUUUGUACUCACCGCCCGUCGCUGUUACCGAUAGAAUGAUUCAGUGAGGUCUUCGGACUGGCGCUCGGAGCGGCCUUCGGGUCACGCGCCGCGGUGCCGGAAAGAUGACCGAACUCGAUUAUU
This 771-nucleotide ribosomal RNA is filed under the name Argyroneta aquatica (water spider). RNAcentral's name for it is "SSU rRNA". It matches the Rfam family "Eukaryotic small subunit ribosomal RNA", at positions 985 to 1773 of the family's 1831-position model. The record is from RNAcentral. Lineage: Eukaryota; Metazoa; Arthropoda; Arachnida; Araneae; Dictynidae.